Long non-coding RNA from Salvelinus namaycush (lake trout), 213 nucleotides. RefSeq lists it as uncharacterized. NCBI's taxonomy places the organism in Eukaryota, Metazoa, Chordata, Actinopteri, Salmoniformes, Salmonidae. The record is from RefSeq and is a predicted model, not a curated record. The transcript has 3 exons.
CAGCAGCAGCUGGACCUGUUGAUGUGACCUAUGCUGAUGUUGUCCUCCAAAAGAAGAACAAAGCCAAGAAGAAGAGAAAAACAGCAACCCCAUCUGAGACAGAAUCUGUCUAUUCUCUAGUGAAGCCAUACACAGCCCCCGCAGCUGGACCUGUUGAUGUGACCUAUGCUGAGGUUGACCUCCAAAAGAAGAACAAAGCCAAGAAGAAGAGAG